This 134-nucleotide small RNA is filed under the name Salmonella enterica. Its description in RNAcentral is "RtT sRNA". It matches the Rfam family "RtT RNA". Rfam says of the family: This family represents a bacterial cis-regulatory element known as RtT RNA. The exact function of RtT is unknown although it is thought that it may be involved in changing the cellular response in relation to amino acid starvation. Lineage: Bacteria; Pseudomonadati; Pseudomonadota; Gammaproteobacteria; Enterobacterales; Enterobacteriaceae. RNAcentral also lists the same sequence under 2 other names. The record is from RNAcentral.
UGUAUCUGAAGCCUGACGAGGAUGAGAACCUCCGGGGGCAAGAGGUUCGACCCGAGCGAAGCGAGAGAACGUUGCGUCAGCAACGGCCCGCAGGGCGAGCCACGCAGUGGCGAGUCAUCCUCUAUCACCGAACA